CCUUUGCGAGAAUAGAAAAACUUAUAAGUUAAAAGUUAGUCGAUUACUGAGGUUCCAGAUCGGAUUAAGUUAAAGGUGAAGAGAUUGACACCAUGGAUGGUCAGCUUGGUAUAAGCAAACUCCUUAGUAUAAUUAGUCCCUGGAAAAUGAAUGUACGGUUUAACAAGUUUAUCCUUAAGAUUGACUCUUUCAGAUUAAAC
Molecule: long non-coding RNA, 200 nt
Filed under: Manihot esculenta (cassava)
Lineage: Eukaryota; Viridiplantae; Streptophyta; Magnoliopsida; Malpighiales; Euphorbiaceae
Description: long non-coding RNA (MESC_LNC010952)
Source: RNAcentral